ACGAACGCUGGCGGCGUGCUUAACACAUGCAAGUCGAACGGAAAGGCCCUGCUUUUGUGGGGUGCUCGAGUGGCGAACGGGUGAGUAACACGUGAGUAACCUGCCCUUGACUUUGGGAUAACUUCAGGAAACUGGGGCUAAUACCGGAUAGGAGCUCCUGCUGCAUGGUGGGGGUUGGAAAGUUUCGGCGGUUGGGGAUGGACUCGCGGCUUAUCAGCUUGUUGGUGGGGUAGUGGCUUACCAAGGCUUUGACGGGUAGCCGGCCUGAGAGGGUGACCGGCCACAUUGGGACUGAGAUACGGUCCAGACUCCUACGGGAGGCAGCAGUGGGGAAUAUUGCACAAUGGGCGGAAGCCUGAUGCAGCAACGCCGCGUGCGGGAUGACGUCCUUCGGGUUGUAAACCGCUUUCGCCUGUGACGAAGCGUGAGUGACGGUAAUGGGUAAAGAAGCACCGGCUAACUACGUG
RNAcentral lists this ribosomal RNA (467 nucleotides) under uncultured bacterium. Its description in RNAcentral is "partial 16S ribosomal RNA". It matches the Rfam family "Bacterial small subunit ribosomal RNA", at positions 29 to 507 of the family's 1533-position model. The record is from RNAcentral.